GUUUCAAUUCCUCAUAGGCAGGCUAUCGGCAAGCUACAGAGUUCACACGCUUUUUCAAGCGUGCAGAG
RNAcentral lists this small RNA (68 nucleotides) under Acididesulfobacillus acetoxydans. RNAcentral describes it as "Peptococcaceae bacterium INE non-coding RNA". Lineage: Bacteria; Bacillati; Bacillota; Clostridia; Eubacteriales; Peptococcaceae. The record is from RNAcentral.